ACCAUUAUGGUGGAAUUGGUAGACACGCAAGCUUGAGGGGUUUGUGAAUACAAUAUUCAUCCCGGUUCAAAUCCGGGUAAUGGUA
Molecule: transfer RNA, 85 nt
Filed under: Picochlorum sp. 'soloecismus'
Lineage: Eukaryota; Viridiplantae; Chlorophyta; Trebouxiophyceae
Description: tRNA-Leu
Rfam family: tRNA
About the family: Transfer RNA (tRNA) molecules are approximately 80 nucleotides in length. Their secondary structure includes four short double-helical elements and three loops (D, anti-codon, and T loops).
Source: RNAcentral